RNAcentral lists this ribosomal RNA (214 nucleotides) under uncultured bacterium. Its description in RNAcentral is "partial 16S ribosomal RNA". It matches the Rfam family "Bacterial small subunit ribosomal RNA", at positions 524 to 735 of the family's 1533-position model. The record is from RNAcentral.
UACGUAGGUGGCAAGCGUUGUCCGGAAUUAUUGGGCGUAAAGCGCGCGCAGGCGGCCUCUUAAGUCUGAUGUGAAAGCCCCCGGCUCAACCGGGGAGGGCCAUUGGAAACUGGGAGGCUUGAGUAUAGGAGAGAAGAGUGGAAUUCCACGUGUAGCGGUGAAAUGGCGUAGAGAGUGUGGAGGAACACCAGUGGCGAAGGCGACUCUUUGGCCU